RNAcentral lists this ribosomal RNA (458 nucleotides) under uncultured bacterium. Its description in RNAcentral is "bacterial SSU rRNA". It matches the Rfam family "Bacterial small subunit ribosomal RNA", at positions 29 to 531 of the family's 1533-position model. The record is from RNAcentral.
AACGAACGCUGGCGGCAUGCCUAAUACAUGCAAGUCGAACGAAGGCUUCGGCCUUAGUGGCGCACGGGUGCGUAACGCGUGGGAAUCUACCCUUGGGUUCGGAAUAACAGUUAGAAAUGACUGCUAAUACCGGAUGAUGACGUAAGUCCAAAGAUUUAUCGCCCAAGGAUGAGCCCGCGUAAGAUUAGCUAGUUGGUGAGGUAAAGGCUCACCAAGGCUACGAUCUUUAGCUGGUCUGAGAGGAUGAUCAGCCACACUGGGACUGAGACACGGCCCAGACUCCUACGGGAGGCAGCAGUAGGGAAUAUUGGACAAUGGGCGAAAGCCUGAUCCAGCAAUGCCGCGUGAGUGAUGAAGGCCUUAGGGUUGUAAAGCUCUUUACCCGAGAUGAUAAUGACAGUAUCGGGAGAAUAAGCUCCGGCUAACUCCGUGCCAGCAGCCGCGGUAAUGUCUGUACU